This 76-nucleotide transfer RNA is filed under the name Clostridia bacterium. RNAcentral's name for it is "tRNA-Met". It matches the Rfam family "tRNA". Rfam says of the family: Transfer RNA (tRNA) molecules are approximately 80 nucleotides in length. Their secondary structure includes four short double-helical elements and three loops (D, anti-codon, and T loops). RNAcentral also lists the same sequence under 4 other names. Lineage: Bacteria; Bacillati; Bacillota; Clostridia. The record is from RNAcentral.
CGCGGGGUGGAGCAGUUGGCAGCUCGUCGGGCUCAUAACCCGAAGGUCGUAGGUUCAAGUCCUACCCCCGCUACCA